CUGUAUUUUUCACUUCUUCAUUUAUACUCAGCUUGUCCUGAGACACAGUGACCCAUUUUAAAUUCCGCCCACUCUGCGAAACAGUGUGAACAAAUGUUAGCGCAUAAAGCUAACGCCAGUUGUUUUGCAGGAUUUUUGGAAAGGAACCCCCACAUCUUUGCCAGUUUGUUGGGGGACCCCGAGUAAGAUGCUGCUCAUUUAAAUACAGACAGCAAACAGCUUUAUGAAAUUUUGAUGGAUGGCAGGGAUGGGUGUUGACAAAGAAAAGCAAUUUUGGAAGAAAAAUAAAAGGGGCUCUCCAAAUGUAACAACAGAAAAUUGAUGGUCAGGAUGUUUUUUUUUUUUAGACAGCUGUACUUUGCGGCUGUGGAAACGUUUACAGGAACCAUGCUCUAUUAUUAAGCAUGCAACCUGGAUCGGCCAUCUACCUGCACAGCAUGCAAAGAAAACAACACGUGAAUAAUAAGGGCCAUGGGUUCAAAGAUGCAGAAUGUAGGUCGACCAUCAGUGCUGAGUUACCGAUUAGAAACAGCUGUGUGUUCCUGAGCCGCUCUGUUGAGGCCAGCAUCCAUCUGCGGGCAAAAACGGAGCAACUUCACCCACGCUCGUGCAUUGAAUCGAUCGAAGACGGGGCAAAAAUAUUUCUCACAUGGCCCCCUUUCCUGCUGCGGCGGACAAUGGCUGUUGUGGACCAGUGAGUGUUUGAAGUAAAGUCCUGAAGGAGACAAAAAGUUCUGGAGUGCAAGUGAAGUCGUGGAAUAGUACAGCAGGAAGGGAGUGGCGUGGCGACUCUUUGCACACCCUCAGACCCUUUGACAGCCCUCCCUCCACUGCCAGCUCAGCACCGGAUAUGAGCCAAACCCUGAACCCUGCAGCUGUGGGUCUGAAAUGCCAGAUGGGCAAAAUAAUGUGCACAGACACCCAAACACACGUGUCAGGUUUUUUUUCUCAUAAAUAACAAGUAUGCGUGACAGGCUGCAAAGUGCACCAGCAAAAGCUUGCAGGCAAUCACGACGGGAAAACACGUCAUAUUGUAUGUAGUGUCUCAAGAGACGGGAGUAAUUACGGCGCCCUCACACGCGAUGUCCCCCGCCACGCCCUUUGGUCCAGAACUGUUGAAAAGACAGACUUUUCCCUAACGUACAACUCACAAUUAACCCGACUCAUGAAUUUUUUUGAAUGUACAGACUUGCAAUUUACUUGGAAAAGAUGAGUGAAUGAUGUAUUUUUAAGCAUGUGGGUUUCAACUUGUGUGUGUGCAGUUUGCCGUUUAUUUUCUUACAUUUGAUCGAAGGCAGAACCACAGGGCGGUUUGCUAGAAAUGCUUUUUCCUGUUCAUAAAUCAACUAAAUGGCUGAUAAUGAUGUCAAUCAGGGAUUU
Long non-coding RNA from Syngnathus typhle (broad-nosed pipefish), 1380 nucleotides. RefSeq lists it as uncharacterized. The record is from RefSeq and is a predicted model, not a curated record. The transcript has 4 exons. NCBI's taxonomy places the organism in Eukaryota, Metazoa, Chordata, Actinopteri, Syngnathiformes, Syngnathidae.